This 528-nucleotide ribosomal RNA is filed under the name Shigella sonnei. RNAcentral's name for it is "partial 23S ribosomal RNA". It matches the Rfam family "Bacterial large subunit ribosomal RNA", at positions 390 to 920 of the family's 2925-position model. Lineage: Bacteria; Pseudomonadati; Pseudomonadota; Gammaproteobacteria; Enterobacterales; Enterobacteriaceae. The record is from RNAcentral.
GCACAUAUUGUGAGCUUGAUGAGUAGGGCGGGACACGUGGUAUCCUGUCUGAAUAUGGGGGGACCAUCCUCCAAGGCUAAAUACUCCUGACUGACCGAUAGUGAACCAGUACCGUGAGGGAAAGGCGAAAAGAACCCCGGCGAGGGGAGUGAAAAAGAACCUGAAACCGUGUACGUACAAGCAGUGGGAGCACGCUUAGGCGUGUGACUGCGUACCUUUUGUAUAAUGGGUCAGCGACUUAUAUUCUGUAGCAAGGUUAACCGAAUAGGGGAGCCGAAGGGAAACCGAGUCUUAACUGGGCGUUAAGUUGCAGGGUAUAGACCCGAAACCCGGUGAUCUAGCCAUGGGCAGGUUGAAGGUUGGGUAACACUAACUGGAGGACCGAACCGACUAAUGUUGAAAAAUUAGCGGAUGACUUGUGGCUGGGGGUGAAAGGCCAAUCAAACCGGGAGAUAGCUGGUUCUCCCCGAAAGCUAUUUAGGUAGCGCCUCGUGAAUUCAUCUCCGGGGGUAGAGCACUGUUUCGGCA